Molecule: long non-coding RNA, 1126 nt
Filed under: Prunus dulcis (almond)
Lineage: Eukaryota; Viridiplantae; Streptophyta; Magnoliopsida; Rosales; Rosaceae
Description: sRNA ncRNA
Source: RNAcentral
GCUAGGGCAUUCCUCUCUCCAAUAUAUUAUAUAUAUAUUGAGGGUUGAGCAGGUCAAAAGAGGCAGCCAAGCUGAAAGGGGAGAUAGGCCAUAGCCAUGGAAGGAGGAGGAUAAGGAGGAGAGUUGAAAGAAGGGUGGGGAUAGGAAAGGCUUGAGGAUGCUGUUGGAGUGGGAGAGUGGGAAAAGAAUGGAUCUCUUUGGUUGGUUCAAAGGGAACAAAUUUCUUUCCUACUCCACCCAUUCCUGCAAUUUCCUUAGGUUUCUCCCUUUCCCUUUCCACUUCUUGUUAGAAUUUUUGGUUGAAACAGAAGGUGUUGAGGUUUGAAUUCAUUCCUGAACUCUUCUUUGUGGUGUUGUUUACUAGUGAUUUAGAAAUAUUGUUUGUAAGAAACAGAAAAACUAGUGACUUAUUAUAUAUUGACUGGAUCUGUGCUUUGAUCUUGGCGGCGUGGGAUUUUGUUUACUGAUGAUAAUUUGCAGGUGCAAUUAAUUGUGGAGAUGUUUUCAAAGUGUUGUGUUGGUGAAGAAGAACAAGUGAUUGAAGGAGGUGGAACUUGUGUCCAAGUCAUUGCAAGGUUUUGUUGAACUUGAGAUGAAUAGAUGUUGUAUUUGUAUGUAACUAAAUACUUGUAUUCAGCGGCAGCCAAAAAUCAGUCAAUGAGACAAGUUUUGAAUGCUUAUUUUUGUACCGAGUCCGAAGCUAAACACGAGAAAGGGGGUUCAACAGCUUUGCUGGAAUUAAUAAACAAGCAAAUUAAGAAGAGAAAGGGCUUUUCUCUUUUCUUGUCAAUCCUUGAAACGUUUUGAUCUAAUUAAUGACCAAGAAAAGUGUGGUUUCCUUUGAGUCCUGCUAAAUGGAAACCACCGUUAAAAUUAACUGAGGUGACACUGACAAGACGUGUCUGAAACUUGCUAGUAAGGAAUCUUUAUAGUUUGUCUGAGAGUGAGACUCUGAGUUGGACUUGGAAUCAAUAUCUUAUCUCCCUUUGCAAAACAGGUAAGCAUCACGCAAAGUUGCAACCAAUGCGGAUUCGAAAGCUUUUGAAAUCCGAUACUGAGCUGAGCUGCUGCUGACUCUGAUCCUGAUCCAUCCAGCACGAGUCACGACAAAAGCAGAUCACAUGAC